This 1015-nucleotide long non-coding RNA is filed under the name Volvox carteri. RNAcentral describes it as "long non-coding RNA (VCAR_LNC004429)". Lineage: Eukaryota; Viridiplantae; Chlorophyta; Chlorophyceae; Chlamydomonadales; Volvocaceae. The record is from RNAcentral.
UAAAGGGAAUGACAUCCCCUUCGUCUCCGUCCCCUUUAGGGGAAGAAGGGUAACACCCCUUCGGUUCCCCUUUAGGGGAUGAGCCAGAACGCACGCUAAGACUACCUUAUUGGGCUACAACUUAGUCGCCCUUCGGAACCGGACUUAGGCCGGACAAUAAAGUAACUUAUAAUUACGUUGGAACUUAAGGCCGUAGGCUGUAACUCGUUGAGGUUUUCAGUCGUUAACGUAAGUUACAAUUGCGUUGUUACUAAACGGACUUGUUCCUGAGUUGUGUUUUUGCUAUAUGUUGUAACAUAAGCAACUAGGUUAAACGCCGUUAAACUACAAAGCUUUGUUGAUCGGCCAAAAGAAAAAAGCUACACUAAUGCUAGUUGUUUUUGAUAAGAUUUUUGAUUUACGUAAAAAAUUUUAGUAGAGCUUAACGUAGUUAAGGUUAUGCAAAAUUUGGGUGACCCAUACUAAAACUAUAGGACCGAACAAAGUAAACUUUGUUCGUUGACUAUACGGCCUUUGGCCGGAUGGUUUGCUCUGCCAAAACGUUCCCCUUGGGAAAAGCUACCAUAAACCUUCGGCUGGAUCGUCACAAAGGGGGGGAUCUAUCUUUAAUUUAAUUUUAUUUUUUUUUUAUAAAACAAAUAGCUUUUUUUCUACACUCGAGGCUAUGCCCCCUAUUUUUUACAUAACUACACGUAGACGAAAAAAACGUUAGGGAUCGUUACGAAUUGGUUACACUAGCUCAUGAAGUCCGUUGUAAAGUUAAUACAAUAGCAGCGAGCUGUGAACGUCAAGGUUUAACGCAAACUUAGCUAAUUAAAGGUGUACCGCCCAUGAGCUACGUUGUAGUUCCCCUUUCCGUAUUGCUUCCCCGAAGGGGACAGNCAACAAGCGUAAACAAUUCGGCCUAGGCCGGAUCAAGAAAAAUUCGUGUGAAGGCUUUUAAUUGUGCUUUCCUUGUCUUCCCCUUUGGUUCCCCUUUGGUUCCCCUGGUCCCCUUUGUUCAUCAUCCCCUAAA